This 400-nucleotide ribosomal RNA is filed under the name uncultured bacterium. Its description in RNAcentral is "bacterial SSU rRNA". It matches the Rfam family "Bacterial small subunit ribosomal RNA", at positions 355 to 772 of the family's 1533-position model. The record is from RNAcentral.
UGGGGAAUCUUGGACAAUGGGCGCAAGCCUGAUCCAGCCAUGCCGCGUGAGUGAUGAAGGCCCUAGGGUUGUAAAACUCUUUCGUGGGGGACGAUAAUGACGGUACCCCAAGAAGAAGCUCCGGCUAACUUCGUGCCAGCAGCCGCGGUAAUACGAAGGGGGCUAGCGUUGUUCGGAUUUACUGGGCGUAAAGCGCGUGUAGGCGGGCUGGAAAGUUGGGGGUGAAAUCCCGAGGCUCAACCUCGGAACUGCCUCCAAAACUUCCAGCCUGGACUCAAGCAGAGGCAAGUGGAAUUGCGAGUGUAGAGGUGAAAUUCGUAGAUAUUCGCAGGAACACCAGUGGCGAAGGCGACUUGCUGGGCUUGUAGUGACGCUGAGACGCGAAAGCGUGGGGAGCAAA